AGAGUUUGAUCCUGGCUCAGGAUGAACGCUGGCGGCGUGCCUAAUACAUGCAAGUCGAGCGAACGGACGAGAAGCUUGCUUCUCUGAUGUUAGCGGCGGACGGGUGAGUAACACGUGGAUAACCUACCUAUAAGACUGGGAUAACUUCGGGAAACCGGAGCUAAUACCGGAUAAUAUUUUGAACCGCAUGGUUCAAAAGUGAAAGACGGUCUUGCUGUCACUUAUAGAUGGAUCCGCGCUGCAUUAGCUAGUUGGUAAGGUAACGGCUUACCAAGGCAACGAUGCAUAGCCGACCUGAGAGGGUGAUCGGCCACACUGGAACUGAGACACGGUCCAGACUCCUACGGGAGGCAGCAGUAGGGAAUCUUCCGCAAUGGGCGAAAGCCUGACGGAGCAACGCCGCGUGAGUGAUGAAGGUCUUCGGAUCGUAAAACUCUGUUAUUAGGGAAGAACAUAUGUGUAAGUAACUGUGCACAUCUUGACGGUACCUAAUCAGAAAGCCACGGCUAACUACGUGCCAGCAGCCGCGGUAAUACGUAGGUGGCAAGCGUUAUCCGGAAUUAUUGGGCGUAAAGCGCGCGUAGGCGGUUUUUUAAGUCUGAUGUGAAAGCCCACGGCUCAACCGUGGAGGGUCAUUGGAAACUGGAAAACUUGAGUGCAGAAGAGGAAAGUGGAAUUCCAUGUGUAGCGGUGAAAUGCGCAGAGAUAUGGAGGAACACCAGUGGCGAAGGCGACUUUCUGGUCUGUAACUGACGCUGAUGUGCGAAAGCGUGGGGAUCAAACAGGAUUAGAUACCCUGGUAGUCCACGCCGUAAACGAUGAGUGCUAAGUGUUAGGGGGUUUCCGCCCCUUAGUGCUGCAGCUAACGCAUUAAGCACUCCGCCUGGGGAGUACGACCGCAAGGUUGAAACUCAAAGGAAUUGACGGGGACCCGCACAAGCGGUGGAGCAUGUGGUUUAAUUCGAAGCAACGCGAAGAACCUUACCAAAUCUUGACAUCCUUUGACAACUCUAGAGAUAGAGCCUUCCCCUUCGGGGGACAAAGUGACAGGUGGUGCAUGGUUGUCGUCAGCUCGUGUCGUGAGAUGUUGGGUUAAGUCCCGCAACGAGCGCAACCCUUAAGCUUAGUUGCCAUCAUUAAGUUGGGCACUCUAAGUUGACUGCCGGU
This 1167-nucleotide ribosomal RNA is filed under the name Staphylococcus aureus M0663. Its description in RNAcentral is "bacterial SSU rRNA". It matches the Rfam family "Bacterial small subunit ribosomal RNA", at positions 8 to 1156 of the family's 1533-position model. The record is from RNAcentral. Lineage: Bacteria; Bacillati; Bacillota; Bacilli; Caryophanales; Staphylococcaceae.